Molecule: long non-coding RNA, 364 nt
Filed under: Medicago truncatula (barrel medic)
Lineage: Eukaryota; Viridiplantae; Streptophyta; Magnoliopsida; Fabales; Fabaceae
Description: long non-coding RNA (MTRU_LNC006660)
Source: RNAcentral
CACAACUUACAUUUUACACUGCUUGUAUGCCAACCAAAGUAAGGUAUUCAGUUCCAUUGAGAUGUUGGUCACGAAAUGAAAUAAUUUUUUUUAAGGUAUUCAUUUUACACAACUUACAUUUUUUAAUUUUUUUUUUUUUUGGUAGAUAGACGAAAUGGCAAAGCCAUUAUAAACUCACACACACAAGUGAAGGUACCGGGGUUCGAACCCCGAUCAUGGCAUCCGGCCUAACAAUUUCGGAAACCAAAAUAGAGGUGAUCUAAAUCUAAGCAAGGCGUUUGAAGUUUUGGCUAAGACUUAUGAAAAUGUCAUUCAAAAUAAAAAUUGGUCAAGAAUAUCAUUCAAUUUAACCCCUUAUAUAAAC